GGGGUCGUAGCGCAGUGGUAGCGCGUCCGCUUUGCAUGCGGAAGGUCUAGGGUUCGAUCCCCUACCUCUCCA
RNAcentral lists this transfer RNA (72 nucleotides) under Didymella pomorum. Its description in RNAcentral is "Peyronellaea pomorum tRNA". It matches the Rfam family "tRNA". Rfam says of the family: Transfer RNA (tRNA) molecules are approximately 80 nucleotides in length. Lineage: Eukaryota; Fungi; Ascomycota; Dothideomycetes; Pleosporales; Didymellaceae. The record is from Rfam by way of RNAcentral.